CCGAUGGGACCCCACAGAACCCCACAGAACUCUAUAGGGCCCCAUAGAACCCCAUAGAAUCCGAUGGGAUCCCACAGAACCCCAUAGAACCCGAUGGGACCCCACAGAACCCCACAGAACUCUAUAGGACCCCAUAGAACCCGAUGGGACCCCACAGAACCCCAUAGACCUCUAUAGGACCCCAGAGAAUCCCAUAGAACUUUAUGGGACCCCACAGAACCCCAUAGAACUCUAUAGGAACCCACAAAAGCCACAAAACUCUAUAGGACCCCAAUGGAACCGCAGAACCCUACAGGAUCCCACAGAACCCCACAGAACCCUAUAGGAUCCCAUAGGACCCCCAUAACCCCACAGAACCCCCCAGAACCCUAUAGGAUCCCAUAGGACCCCCAGAACCCCCCAGGACCCCAUAGAACCCCACAGGACCCAGAGAACCCCAUAAAACCCCACAGAACCCCCCAAACCCCACAGAACCCCAUAGGGUUCUGUGGGGUUCCGGAGGUCCUAUGGGAUCCUAUAGGAUUCACGGGGGUUCUAUGGGGAUCUAUGGGGUUCUGUGGGCUUCUAUGGGGUCCUAUGGGAUCCUAUAGGGUUCUGUGGGGUACGAUAGGGUUCUAUGGGGUCCUAUGGGAUCCUAUAGGGUUCUAUGGGGUUCUGUGGGGUGCUAUAGGGUUCUGUGGGGUCCGAUAGGGCCUAUGGGGUUCUAUGGGGGUCCUAUAGAGGUCCUAAGGGGUCCUAUAGGGUGCUGUGGGGUCCUAUUGGGUUCUGUGGGGUUCUAUGGGGUUCUGUGAGGUCCGAUAGGGCCUAUGGGGUUCUAUGGGGGUCCUAUAGGGGUCCUAAGGGGUCUUAUAGGGUUCUGUGGGGUUCUGGGGCUCCUAUGGGAUCCUAUGGGGUUCUGUGGGCUUCUAUGGGGUCCUAUGGGAUCCUAUAGGGUUCUGUGGGGUCCUAUGGGGUUCUGUGGGGUCUAUGGGGUCCUAUUGGGGUCCUUUAGGGGUCUAUGGGGUUCUAUAGGGGUCCUAUGGGUGUCUAUGGGGUUCUAUGAGGGUCCUAUAGGGGUCUAUGAGGUUCUGUGGGAUCCUAUGGGAUCCUAUAGGGUUCUGUGGGGUCCUAUGGGGUCCUAUGGGGUUCUGUGGGGAUCCUAUAGGGUUCUGUGGGGUUCUAUGGGGUCCUAUGGGAUCCUAUUGGGUUCUGUGGGUUCCUAUGGGGUUCUGUGGGGUCUAUGGGGGUUCUGUGGGGGUCCUAUGGGGGUCUAUGGGGUCCUAUGGGGGCCCUAUAGGGGUCUAUGGGGUUCUGCGGGAUCCUAUAGAGGUCAAUGGGGUUCUGUGGGAUCCUAUAGGGGUCUAUGGGUUCCUCUGGGUGUCCUAUAGCGAUCAAUGGGAUUCGACGGCAGGGGGGGGGGGGGGGGCCACGCCCUGCGCGCUCCCGGAGACCCCCCACGGGGAAACGCGAACGCGCGUGGGGAGAUCUG
Molecule: long non-coding RNA, 1468 nt
Filed under: Gallus gallus (chicken)
Lineage: Eukaryota; Metazoa; Chordata; Aves; Galliformes; Phasianidae
Description: lncRNA (ENSGALG00010000755.1)
Source: RNAcentral